Long non-coding RNA from Papaver somniferum (opium poppy), 1890 nucleotides. RefSeq lists it as uncharacterized. The transcript is spliced from 2 exons. The record is from RefSeq and is a predicted model, not a curated record. NCBI's taxonomy places the organism in Eukaryota, Viridiplantae, Streptophyta, Magnoliopsida, Ranunculales, Papaveraceae.
UUUGACACCAACCAAUCUAUGUUCAUCAAUAUCUUCUAAAUAUUUUCUCCUCGCGUUACAGAAUCCAGGUGUUUUUCGUUUAGGUUAGCUCCAUGUCUACUAGUGAUAAUGUGAUCAGUUCAUCUUCCUCUCCUUCUGACUCUUCAUUUGUAGUUUCUUAUUUGAUAAAUUCAUUAUGUGGAUUAUCUGAAAAAUGAAGCUAUUCGAUAAACUGAGGAUUCACUAAACCUCACACUACAGAUCUUAUCACUAAGCAUCCAUUAAUUUUGCUAUUUCAUCCUCUUAAAACAAACUCAAAUUGGAUUUUUUUCUUCCUUCAAUUCUUUAUGGAAUACAACUAGCUAAUUUCAUCUCAAGGAACUCAUUCAUCCUGAAUGUGAGCUUAAAAAUCCAAUUUGUUCCUUCAUUUGAUUCGUAAGAGAAUUAUUCAGUCGUAGUUACAACUCUUAAAAGUUCUUCUUGGAUUCUCAAUGUAAAUGUGGUUGAAAGUUGAUGGUCAAACUAGAACUUUUGAAAUAUGAAGGUGUCUCUGAAUCUAUCAUCAGAAUUAUAGUCUCAAAGGGUUUGAUUAAGGAGAAAAUUUCUCUGACGUCACCUUCAGUAGUGACUGAUAAAGGAUUUGAUGAGUACUAUGCUAUGCUUGCUGAAGUUGGACUUCACCAUUUCAAUAGAAGUUAUGGUGCAGUUGGAUUUUUGGAGGAUAGGUGUACUCCAUCCAAUGCUCAAUAUUGGUUGGUAAUUAUGAAAGUGAAAAAGUUCAAGUUUUAUUCUAGCAUGCGAGUCGCAAGACCAAAUUCUUAAAUAAAUUUAUCAUGGCAUCAGAUGAUAAAAAGCGCAAAGCAGUGGAUUUUGAAAUGGGAGAUUUUGUGUGGGAUAUAUUGUCGAAGCAUCGCUUUUCAGUUGGUGAGUAUAACAAUCAAUACAGUAUAUACGUACAUUUUCUGAGUUAUGUGUAUCUAGCUGUAUGUAUGACCACAAGUUUCUCAGAACGAAGCUACCAAGCAACUACUGUAUCAUAUUCAUAAAGUGAGAAGUGCAAUUAGAAAGGUACAAACGAUCAAGGAAAAACUAAGGAUCAAGAGCAUUUCUACGAAACGGAUUAAAAAUUGUAUAUGUGGGUUGAUGUAGCCGAGACCCCAUGCAGUUAUGGAGAAGAUGAAGGAGAACAUGCCUGACCAUGCCAAGCUUUUAAAGAUUACCGGGUGAUGAAGAUGUGUCAUUUUUGUCAGAAGUUCCACAAGUACAGGAGUAACAAUUGCAAUUGAAAAGGCUGCCAUUCCUAAACAGAUUGGAGCGAGUUUUGCUAGUUUAUCAUUUCUCUUAGCAUCUGAUUUCAUUCGUCGCAGGACAUCUCCAACACUUGGACAAGGUGCCUCUAAGGUCUUGACACAAGAUAUUGUUUAGGCGUUAGAUGGCGAAAUUAAUGCGGAAUGAUCUUUACUGAAACCCAAAGUGAACAUGAAAUUCGUUUACCUGAUAAUGUUCUUUUUCUCGAUCUAAGGGAAUGCAAAUGUCGGAUUCUUUAGCCAUUGGUCGGAGAACUAGACCAUUUUCUUCGAUAUUUGUAGUGUGUUGGUGGUCAUCAGCAACUUCCCCGUGAUGUCUAACUGCCGGUGACUUCUUGGGGUGCAUGUUUGUUAAUUGAUUCACCUGAAACGUAUAAAUACAUAAUCCAUCAGCAUCUAGCAAAGAGAUGAAUUAAAGAUAUUCAACAUCGCCAUGGAUGAUUGAAGGAUGUUAUCAUUUCAUAAGGCUAUUUAUUUAAAAAAAACCUGUGAUGUAAAUGAUUCACUUGAGAAACACAACUCCAACUCCAGUUCUUUAUUACUGGGGUUGUAUUGUGUUUGACGUAAAUGAUUCAUCAUCUAGUAUAUGGAUACUUGUUUGUUU